Molecule: RNA transcript, 1777 nt
Organism: Zalophus californianus (California sea lion)
Lineage: Eukaryota; Metazoa; Chordata; Mammalia; Carnivora; Otariidae
Gene: LRRC23
Gene name: leucine rich repeat containing 23
Exons: 9
Source: RefSeq, a predicted model, not a curated record
CACAACGCCUCCUUGCGCCUUUCCCCUCUUCCAAAACACUCUUUCCCUGUCGAGGCCAAGACCCUCUCCGGAACCUCAUUUUUAGUAGAGCAGAACCAGGGUCUGCGCCCCGUUGCGAAGGAUUGGGUGGAGCCUUCAGCAGGGAAAAAGAUGUCAGAUGAAGAGCUGGAAGACUUCGAGCCAGACCAGGAUGAUCUGGAAAAGGAAGACGAUGAGAAGGAGACAGAAGAGUGGGAGGACUCCAGGAAGGAGGGAGAAGAGUACUCAGAGGAAUGGAUGCCCACCCCCCUCACGGAGGACAUGAUGAAGGAAGGGCUUUCUUUGCUCUGUAAGACGGGCAAUGGACUGGCUCACGCUUAUGUCAAGCUGGAGGUUAAAGAGAGGGACCUGACAGACAUCUACUUGUUGCGGUCCUACAUCCAUCUGCGCUAUGUGGAUGUUUCUGAGAACCACCUGACAGACUUGUCCCCACUCAAUUACCUUACCCACCUGCUCUGGCUCAAGGCUGAUGGCAACAAUCUGCGGAGCGCCCACCUGAAUGAACUGCCCUACCUGCAGAUUGCCAGUUUUGCCUAUAACCAGAUCACUGACACUGAGGGCAUCUCUCACCCUCGUCUGGGCAGCCUGGAUCUCAAAGGGAACCGCAUCCACAGGGUGACUGGUCUGGACCCCCAAAAGCUGAUCAGCCUGCACACACUGGAGCUUCAGGGGAACCAGCUGGACAGCACCUUGGGAAUCAACCUUCCUAAGCUGAAGAACCUCUUCCUGGCCCAGAACAUGCUGAAGAAGGUGGAGGGCUUGGAGCACCUAAGCAAUCUCACUACGUUGCACCUUCGAGACAACCAGAUUGAAACUCUGAGUGGCUUCUCCAAGGAAAUGACAUCGCUGCAGUAUCUCAACCUGAGAGGCAACAUGGUGACCCACCUCGGGGAGCUAGCCAAGCUCCGGGACCUGCCCAAGCUGCGGGCCUUGGUGCUGUUGGACAACCCGUGCGCAGAUGAGAAUGACUACCGCCAGGAGGCCCUGGUGCAGAUGGCACACCUCGAGCGCCUGGAUAAGGAUUUCUACGAGGAGGAGGAGCGGGCCGAAGCUGAUGAGAUCCGUCAGAGGUUGAAGGAGGCCCAGGAGCAGGAGGCUGAGGCUGAGCGCGACUCCAAACUGGAGCUGCCAUCCAUGUAGCUCUUUGAGCCUCCGGGGACAGAGAUCAAAGACACUGGCCCCAAGACCUGAGAAGACAUCCAGGUAGUGGUGCUGCCACAUUCACAUCCCUCAUCCUGAGUCAGAGCAUGCCUUCUCUUGCCCCAGACCUGGGAAUUCAUCACAACCUGCCGCCCAGGCUCUGUAAUGGGCACCUGGGCAGCGUCUGGGUGGGCCUGAGCCCUGCCUGGAACCUGGGUGUGUGUGUGUGUGUGUGUGUGUGUGUGUGUGUGUGUGUGUGUGUGUGUGUGUGUGUGUGUGUGUGUGUGUGUGUGACGUGGCUGGAGGUCGGAGAUGGCCUGGGGCUGGGAGCUCUUGCUGGAACAGGAAGGGUAACAGAAAAGGGCCUUGCCCAUCAGCUCCCUUGCGUCUACCAGCCCUUAACCGAAGCCGCUCGGUCCAGAGGCGGGGCUGUGUGCCCGGGGACGCUUCCCCCUAACUCUCUCCUCAGCCCCCGGCUCCCCUGUUCUUGCUCCAGCUGCGCCAGAGCAAUGGCUCACUCCCCUGUGCCACAUUCCACAGUUGCCACCCCCUCUGUGGCGUGGAAAUGAGCACCACCAUUAAAGUCUGAAUCACAGUU